Molecule: long non-coding RNA, 370 nt
Filed under: Setaria italica (foxtail millet)
Lineage: Eukaryota; Viridiplantae; Streptophyta; Magnoliopsida; Poales; Poaceae
Description: long non-coding RNA (SITA_LNC004077)
Source: RNAcentral
CGCCGCCGUGGGCGAUGGUGACGCCGGCCAGCAGCUUCCCAAGCUCCUCGUCGUUGCGGAUCGCCAGGAGCACGUGGCGCGGGAUGAUGCGCGUCUUCUUGUUGUCCCUCGCCGCGUUUCCGGCGAGCUCAAGCACCUCGGCGGCGAGGUACUCGAGGACGGCGGCGAGGUACACGGGAGCGCCGGUGCCGACGCGCUGCGCGUACCGACCCUUCUUGAGGUAGCGCCCGAUGCGGCCGACGGGGAACUGGAGUCCGGCCUUCACGGACCGCGACACCGACUUCUUCCUGGGUCCGCCGGCCUUGCGCCCGGCCGCUCCCUUCUUCACCUUGCCGGUGGCUCCAGCUCCGCUGACGUCCAUGGCUGGCUG